RNAcentral lists this ribosomal RNA (253 nucleotides) under uncultured bacterium. RNAcentral's name for it is "partial 16S ribosomal RNA". It matches the Rfam family "Bacterial small subunit ribosomal RNA", at positions 524 to 776 of the family's 1533-position model. The record is from RNAcentral.
UACGUAGGGGGCAAGCGUUGUCCGGAUUUAUUGGGCGUAAAGAGCGUGUAGGCGGUUAGGUAGGUCCGUUGUGAAAACUCGAGGCUCAACCUCGAGACGCCGAUGGAAACCAUCUGACUAGAGUCCGGAAGAGGAGAGUGGAAUUCCUGGUGUAGCGGUGAAAUGCGCAGAUAUCAGGAGGAACACCAAUGGCGAAGGCAGCUCGCUGGGACGUUACUGACGCUGAGACGCGAAAGCGUGGGGAGCAAACAGG